Long non-coding RNA from Dromaius novaehollandiae (emu), 6432 nucleotides. RefSeq lists it as uncharacterized. The record is from RefSeq and is a predicted model, not a curated record. NCBI's taxonomy places the organism in Eukaryota, Metazoa, Chordata, Aves, Casuariiformes, Dromaiidae. The transcript has 3 exons.
GGGCUGCAACUCCUGUUAACCUGUGGAUGACAGCAGCUUGUCCCACCGCAUGGGGUAUGAGCCUGCAGCUUUUCCACAGAGGCCAUAGACUAAAUUGGCUCCUACUGCAGAGGAUGUGCAGGGAAGCAAAGCGUGGUGAGGGCUGCGUAGCGCACAGUGCAGAUGUCAGAAAAUGCCAAUGUAGCAAAUCGAACUUAAAUGCUUCCCACUUGUGGGAUAUUCAUUUCCAAUAGUCUUUAUCAGCUGAAGGAAUCUAAAAGCAGGAUAAGAACCACGUUGCCAGCUGAUAGUUAUUUUUCUGGAGGGAGAAAGAUUAUAUGCUCCUUCGCAAUAUUGCAGGGGACAAUCACUAUUACAGCUGGGGCUUGAAAUCCUGCUACAAUGCUUGUACAGAAAGGGACCAAGUGGCAUCUUUCCUGUGCAGCUAUACCAUGUUAUUCCUUGAGCUCUGAGUGAAGCCGUAAUUCCUGACCCCCGGCACGGUGUUCCUGCCGCCGCAGGGCUCGCGGGGCUUGGUGAUGGGGUACUGCACGGAGCCGUCGCUGAGCCAGCCGGCGUUGCACCAGUCCAGCCCCGCUCGCCAGGCCUCGUAGAGCUGGUCGAAGGCGGCGAUGAUGGCGUCCUGGCCCCGGCACGCCUGCUGCGCCUCGCGGAAGUUCAGGUUGUACCGCCCCAGCCGCGGAGAGUACGGGAAUACCACACCUGCGGUGGCAGAGAGGCGGUUAUCCUAGGAAUUUCAUGUCAGCCUUAAUAACAACAGUGGAAGGCUAGACUGGUAGGAGACAGAAUUAGGGUCCUGAGGUAUUAAAGCAGGAAAUCUACAGGGAAAUCAAAUCAGUGAAGAUGUGUGUGGCUCUAGCAAAGGAGACCUUUUGGACACUUCCCAGUGGCUGCCUGGCAGUCUGUCACCGCAGUCGCUCACGGUGGAAGGGGAGCUCCUCGUGGAAGAUGCCAGCAAGUAUGGGCCCUUCAACAGGAGACAGUCUUCCCCAAUCCCAGCUGGUGAGCAAGGUGGUGCUUGGGAUGCAGCAAAGCCAGGUGGUCCCCGGAGGAAGCGGCAUGAGACACUCUCUCCCGCCACCCCUAUGAGUGCCAAGAGCAGCACUGGAAUAACUGAAGAGCGUGUUCUGGAGAGCCUGGGGGACUGGGGAGCCCUGGUGUGGAGGUACAGAUCUGCUGAUGCUUCCUUGAGCCGCAUGUGGGACUUAGGACAUAGGCCACCAUCACACGGCCCACAGCUGGGUCUGUUCCCUGUCAGCUGCGAGCUGUCAUGGUGGGCACGGAGGAGACCCUCCUGUGAUGGAGAGUGCCCAAGCGGAGAUUGGAGACAUGGGGAUGCCUCCAGAGUUGUUUCAAUACUGACAUUUAAUCAAUCUCAUUGCCUUUUUCUUACAGAUUUGUCUACUGUGUAUUUUCUGUUUGUUUUACCAGAAACCUCUGUAAUUAAAAAUUACUUCUGGAAGCAGGAAAGAUGCUUCAGAAAGUGUUGAAGAACCACCUCUCCACAUGGCUCUGACAAAAGGCAGUACAGAGAAGAGAGAGAUUUGAAACAAAAGUUUGGAUCAGACCACCCUAACCUUUGGCAAGGUUUAGAAACUCAGCCCAGCUCUAAAUUUUACAGUUGGCUUUAGCCCAAUCUUUAUAAUAAGCUGAAACAAAAUGGCAUCAGAGAAGAUCCAGCUCAGGAUGUUUAUUUUCAAACAUCUCUGUAGAACUAAGUGGUGUAGGAUGUAGAAAGGCUGAAGACAAGAUAACACAUUAGGAGAUGAGCCAAAAGCUUUAAACUGGUGAAGACAUCUAUCUUUCUUUUUACUUUUUCCCUGUUGGUGAAUUCUCCUGCCUAUAACAAGUUCCUUGUCUCCAAGGCAAUGUAGCAUAGGAUAGAGAAAUUACAUUAUGGUCAUGCUCAGCUGUCACCAUGCAAUGAAGUCAUUCUUCUUUUUGAACAUUCAAAUCCACUUUGGUGUCUAUUCCACGGGUAUCUUAACAUCUCCUUCUUGCCCUUCUCUUCCUCACCCAUCUAUUGUCCCAGCAGUGUUAUUUUUGUUAAAUAAUAUCUCUGCUAUUAGUAAACCCAAGUGAAUUGGUCCAAGAAAACAAAGCAUGCAAAUGUAAACUUGGCAGGGUAAUAAUAAACAGGAUUUUGUUCUACUUCAGUAAUUAACUAGAAAGUCUGCUGACUUUCUUUCCUUUUGUAAAUCCUUUGUUAAAGGGCUUUUCAGUUAUUAGCUGUUCUGCACUAUAAAAGGUGAAUGAUAUGUAACACAUUGUGUGCUGUUAACUACAGCUUCAUAAACAAGAAGCCAUAAAUGUUUCAUGUUCAUUCUGGAUCUCUGAAAAUUUUUUUUAAUCAUUUGUUCUCCCUCAGUGCUAAUGGCUAGAAAUAUCAAUGACUAUAGUAAAAAUGUAGCAAGUGCCAGAGGAGUCCAAGCUUUAUUAAAAAUCCAAUGCUUAUUUUUUUUCUAGAACUAUACCUCCCCAGACUCCUGACUCCUGGUCCAGCACGAGUUUGAUCUGCAUAUACACGUCAAAAAAAACCUAAAAUCACCAGAGAUGGAUACCUAUUAAUAAAAGUCUAAACUCAUAUACUUCUAAAGACUGAGCAACAAUUCAUCAGAAACUGUUCAAGCAGAUUUAAUUCCUUACGGUUUCAAAAAUCACUUUUUUGAGAUGGUUAAAAAUGAACAUAAAUUUGUUACAAAUCUACUUAAGUUUGACAGUUUGGGCCAUAACGUUUUAAUAACAUAAAUAUGCACAGAACUGUAAUAUUAGCUUUGGGCUAUAUUUGGAGAGAGAGGCUAGAAGCUGAUUUUUGUUUGAGUUCAUCUGCAGUACAAGUCUGCAACUGAUUAGCAUUAAUUUCACCCUGCAGAUACAGACAGGGGUAGCCAUCGGUGAUUUUAUAUAGGAAAAUUGACCUUACGCAGUUUUGUGUGGCUUUGUGUUAUCUUGCAUCUUUGCUGUUACUGGUUCUUUCUUCCUCAUUUCUCUAUCAAGCCUAACACUGAAUUGAUAGAUAGAUCUAUACGCAUCUUCUUCUUGCUACAAUUUAGCCGUUUUGAACCUUAGUUAAUUGGGCAGCAGCAUCUUCAGUCUUGGCUCCUGCAGCCCAUCAAAAGAUAAUGCGCUCCAUCUGGGCUUGAGUGGACGAGGUUGUCUGGGGGCUGGUUGCUGUUCCCAAACUAGAAACAGAAUCUAAACACCUAACUCCAAUCCUGUGUUUUAUUGCAAGACAAAACACCCACUUCCAAAUGUUAACAAAUUCAGCUUGGGAAAUGGAGGAGAAAAUGCUUCCAGCCUCGAAUGGCUGCUAUUGCUGUGGUUUUCAAUUACAUUUGAAUACCUUUUUUGCUGGUAAUAUGAAAGUCUCCUGAAAGUCUUCUGUUGGGAAAGGAUGGUAUUUUUCUCAUCAGUAUGGUAGUUUUCUUAUCAGUAAAACUUAUGGUUUUAGCUGUUUACUUAUGACCUGCUCUCUGGUUCAGUCUGAACAAAAUUUCUAAAUCCUUCCCCCUAUUUUCUAUAUUACCCUCUCAGAAGUGUCCUGUCAGCGGUGGUAGUACCUGUCGGCAGUGGCAUUACCUGUAGGUAGACAAUGCAUCCACCAGCCUGUUGGGAUAUGGCUCUUUGUAGGGAGCGAGUUGUUAGACCCCUGUUUAAAACCAGGGAAUGGUUGUUCUCUUGGCCUGAAGAGCCUUAACUUGACCUUAGUGACUCAGUUCCUUGCUUUAAGCAAGCAGCUUAGACAUUUGUAGAGCUUGAGUAGGGAACAUUAAUUACAAUUUUGAUUUAGGAGGUAGCUCUUCUCCCAGAUAAUCAGUUCUCUGAAAUACUCCUGUUAAUAGCAGCUGCUCUUCUGCCUUCCUCCAAAGGAGGAAAGAAACUGAAACACAUUAAUUUGGUGGCAAAUUAAUCUGUUAGUGAAAGAAGAAGGCCUGACAAGGCUUGCUGCAUGUGCCUAUUACAGUGCAAUUGCAGUCCUGAAAAUGGCUGCUGUUAUGGGAGUUAGGAUUUUUACCAAAUCAGAACAUAAGAACUGGAAGUAUAACAAAACCUCCCCAUAUCUGUGCCUGUAUUUCUAUGAAUGCCUUACUUUCAAUCCCACUAAUGUACAACUCUGCUCCUAUUGCUGUGGCUUUUAAUUACAUUUUUUGCAGGGAAAACUGGGAGGAGAGAGAGAGGGGACUACUGAAGCUGGCUGUUUUGCAAAGCAAGCCAUCGCUUUUGUGCAGAAGGGUUUAAUGCUACUUUUUUAUCCUGGAUGGGGGAAAUCUGUUUUUCUCUAUUUGUCUUGAGAGGGAGACUUUUGAACAAGUCUAUGAGAAUUAGAUGCUCAGUUAUAUCAGAAAAUAAGUGGAAAAUAAUCUUUAAAAUAGAGCUCAACCUUGCUCACUUAAGGAAUGGAAAAGACAUGACAUUUGCAUGUCCCUUGUAUGCUAUUUGUGUUACACAUUCUUAUAUGCAGGUAGUCACUGAAACUCAACACGAGUCCUUUGCAAUUGCCUGGUCACUAGAGACACGUUCUCAGUGCAAGGAGGAGUAAUGGUUACCCAAGGCAAAACGGUGAGGAAGGAACUUUAGAAAGCUCAGCUCCUAUAACAGUUUUAGAAAGCUCAGCUUCUGUAACAAUUUAUGGUUGUCUAUUAAGGCAACACUGUAUGCAAUUAGCAGUUUUAAGAGUAUGUACAGAUAGAACAAAAUAAAACAAAUUUUUGUUAACACAUAUGGAAAAAAAAAGUCUCUUUACAGCCAGAGCAAAGAAAUGGCUUCCUUCAGUUCUAGUCUAAACAAAAAGUAAGUAUUUUGUAGCCAGCGUAAACACAGGGUACAGUAACGUUUGCUAUAUGCUGUACUGUAGGGUACAGUUUUAUGCUGGUAGGUUCACGCACUUGAAGGCAAAGUUUUCCGUGUUGGGUUUCUAAAAUUCUGCAAAAAGUGGAAAGUUCUUCACUUUCCUUGAGCAUCCAUCUCUAUUUCUCUGCCUGUCAAAAUCGUCAGAUACCUGAUUAUGUAGCACAGACUCCACGGGUGGCCACUGGCUGUCGGCAGCGGUGGUGACUCCGUUGCCUGUAGCUGGAAGCUUGCAGCAGCGCCUCUCCGAUCAUGUCCCCGCACCAAGCCAACAGGGACUUUACUCACUUUUGACAAAUAGAGGCUAGACUUAUCCAGCCUAGACUUAUCUGGCCCAUGAGCAGAUUAUGCCCUUCUUUUUGCUUCAGCUUCUGUCAGAUUUGAAGACUGUUGUUUCUCCUUGCUCUCCUUGGCUAAGCAGUCCUAGAUCUUUUAGCAUUUCCAUUCAGAUUUUGGUUUCUAGAUAAUUUUGUGUUGCUCUAUUUUGUACUUUUUACUUUGCGUGCAUCUUUCUUUUAUAGUACCAUUGCUCACACUAGACACAGUAGAGCCAGAUCUGCAAAGAUCUGUUACCCUGUCACAGAAGGAAUGAGAUUGGUCUGACAUGAUUUGCUCUUGGCAAACUCCUGUUGUCUUUCACAAAACUUUGUGUUGUCUUCUAGGUAUUUACAAACAGUGUGGCCUGUAAAAUCAUCUUUUCUGUAGGCAGAACAACAGAUUUGUUAUGUGAAGAAUGUUUAAAAUAGAUUUUUGUGUAUGAAUGUGACAGCAACACACAGAAGAAACAUAUAGAAUACGCAUUAGACAAAAUCUGAUAUCCCCAGCUGCAAAGUGCAUGGAAUUGGUAAGCUUUAGGCUCUGCAUCUUGGUUUCAGUUAUGAAUCCCUUGUUGCUUACAUGCAACCUAAGAGAAAAUGAUUAUAUUAGGAAAUGAUUACAGUGACCAUUUGGAAGAAUUUAUUUAUAUGAAGUUCAUGAAUUCGUUUGAUCUAUUUUGAACUAUAAAGUCUUUUCUGAAAGAGAUGGCCGUUCUUUUUCUAAUUCUGUCUUGGACAUAAAGGCUCAUGUACCUCUAAGCAGGAUCAUAAAACCCGAUGAUCUUCUAUUCAUGUGGAGCCACCCAAAGAGUUAGUUUCCAUCUAGAAGAAGCAGUCCGCAGAGAUUUUUAAUAUGUUUGUCUAGAUCUGCAUAUUUCUGGUACUGUUGAAAGUACAAAGCAAUUAUUUCAGAACCUGUAUUGCAAAGCUACUAUGUUCAGCUAUCUUCUACCUAUGUACAGACAAACUAUAGAAAAGAUUUCCUAAUAGAUUAAAGCUCUGCCUUUUGUUGGGGGUUCAGCAUUGUUCUACAUUCUUGGUCAUCUGGGCUGUGAAUCUUACUCCCUGAAGGAAUUGUUCACAAAAUCUGUGCCUGGGAAGUAUGGUAGAGGGCCAGUGCUGGAGCCUUCAUCUGCCUGAGAAGUUCAGCAUACAAGCCUAAUAUGGUGAGGUUCAAAAGUAUCUAGUACAUAGAAGUAUCAGACUAGUAUCUAGUCUAUAAGAAAGAACAAAAGUAAAACACUAAAAUAAAGAAACUUUAAUGUAA